CAGCAGCCGCGGGAAUACCGAGGGUGCGAGCGUUAAUCGGAUUUACUGGGCGUAAAGCGUGCGUAGGCGGCUUCUUAAGUCGGAUGUGAAAUCCCUGAGCUUAACUUAGGAAUUGCAUUCGAUACUGGGAAGCUAGAGUAUGGGAGAGGAUGGUAGAAUUCCAGGUGUAGCGGUGAAAUGCGUAGAGAUCUGGAGGAAUACCGAUGGCGAAGGCAGCCAUCUGGCCUAAUACUGACGCUGAGGUACGAAAGCAUGGGGAGCAAACAGGAUUAGAUACCCCUGUAGUCCCUGUCUCUUAUAC
RNAcentral lists this ribosomal RNA (301 nucleotides) under uncultured bacterium. RNAcentral's name for it is "partial 16S ribosomal RNA". It matches the Rfam family "Bacterial small subunit ribosomal RNA", at positions 509 to 807 of the family's 1533-position model. The record is from RNAcentral.